RNAcentral lists this ribosomal RNA (253 nucleotides) under uncultured bacterium. RNAcentral's name for it is "partial 16S ribosomal RNA". It matches the Rfam family "Bacterial small subunit ribosomal RNA", at positions 524 to 776 of the family's 1533-position model. The record is from RNAcentral.
UACAGAGGUCCCAAGCGUUGUUCGGAUUCAUUGGGCGUAAAGGGUGCGUAGGCGGCGCGGUAAGUCGGGUGUGAAAUCUCGGGGCUUAACUCCGAAACUGCAUUCGAUACUGCCGUGCUUGAGGACUGGAGAGGAGACUGGAAUUCACGGUGUAGCAGUGAAAUGCGUAGAGAUCGUGAGGAAGACCAGUGGCGAAGGCGGGUCUCUGGACAGUUCCUGACGCUGAGGCGCGAAGGCCAGGGGAGCAAACGGG